CCGACGGGUGAGUAACACGUAUGCAAUCCACCUGUAACAGGGGAGUAACCCGGAGAAAUCCGACUAAUACCCAUAAUAUGGGCGCUCCGCAUGGAGAGUUCAUUAAAGAGAGCAAUUUUGGUUACAGACGAGCAUGCGCUCCAUUAGCCAGUUGGCGGGGUAACGGCCCACCAAGGCGACGAUGGAUAGGGGUUCUGAGAGGAAGGUCCCCCACAUUGGAACUGAGACACGGUCCAA
This 237-nucleotide ribosomal RNA is filed under the name uncultured bacterium. RNAcentral describes it as "partial 16S ribosomal RNA". It matches the Rfam family "Bacterial small subunit ribosomal RNA", at positions 102 to 334 of the family's 1533-position model. The record is from RNAcentral.